RNAcentral lists this ribosomal RNA (1430 nucleotides) under uncultured organism. RNAcentral's name for it is "16S ribosomal RNA". It matches the Rfam family "Bacterial small subunit ribosomal RNA". The record is from RNAcentral.
CAGGCUUAACACAUGCAAGUCGAGGGGCAGCAUGGUCUUAGCUUGCUAAGGCCGAUGGCGACCGGCGCACGGGUGAGUAACACGUAUCCAACCUGCCGUCUACUCUUGGACAGCCUUCUGAAAGGAAGAUUAAUACAAGAUGGCAUCAUGAGUCCACAUGUUCACAUGAUUAAAGGUAUUCCGGUAGACGAUGGGGAUGCGUUCCAUUAGAUAGUAGGCGGGGUAACGGCCCACCUAGUCUUCGAUGGAUAGGGGUUCUGAGAGGAAGGUCCCCCACAUUGGAACUGAGACACGGUCCAAACUCCUACGGGAGGCAGCAGUGAGGAAUAUUGGUCAAUGGGCGAGAGCCUGAACCAGCCAAGUAGCGUGAAGGAUGACUGCCCUAUGGGUUGUAAACUUCUUUUAUAAAGGAAUAAAGUCGGGUAUGCAUACCCGUUUGCAUGUACUUUAUGAAUAAGGAUCGGCUAACUCCGUGCCAGCAGCCGCGGUAAUACGGAGGAUCCGAGCGUUAUCCGGAUUUAUUGGGUUUAAAGGGAGCGUAGAUGGAUGUUUAAGUCAGUUGUGAAAGUUUGCGGCUCAACCGUAAAAUUGCAGUUGAUACUGGAUAUCUUGAGUGCAGUUGAGGCAGGCGGAAUUCGUGGUGUAGCGGUGAAAUGCUUAGAUAUCACGAAGAACUCCGAUUGCGAAGGCAGCCUGCUAAGCUGCAACUGACAUUGAGGCUCGAAAGUGUGGGUAUCAAACAGGAUUAGAUACCCUGGUAGUCCACACGGUAAACGAUGAAUACUCGCUGUUUGCGAUAUACUGCAAGCGGCCAAGCGAAAGCGUUAAGUAUUCCACCUGGGGAGUACGCCGGCAACGGUGGAACUCAAAGGAAUUGACGGGGGCCCGCACAAGCGGAGGAACAUGUGGUUUAAUUCGAUGAUACGCGAGGAACCUUACCCGGGCUUAAAUUGCAGAUGAAUUACGGUGAAAGCCGUAAGCCGCAAGGCAUCUGUGAAGGUGCUGCAUGGUUGUCGUCAGCUCGUGCCGUGAGGUGUCGGCUUAAGUGCCAUAACGAGCGCAACCCUUGUUGUCAGUUACUAACAGGUUCUGCUGAGGACUCUGACAAGACUGCCAUCGUAAGAUGUGAGGAAGGUGGGGAUGACGUCAAAUCAGCACGGCCCUUACGUCCGGGGCUACACACGUGUUACAAUGGGGGGUACAGAGGGCCGCUACCACGCGAGUGGAUGCCAAUCCCAAAAACCUCUCUCAGUUCGGACUGGAGUCUGCAACCCGACUCCACGAAGCUGGAUUCGCUAGUAAUCGCGCAUCAGCCACGGCGCGGUGAAUACGUUCCCGGGCCUUGUACACACCGCCCGUCAAGCCAUGGGAGCCGGGGGUACCUGAAGUGCGUAACCGCGAGGAGCGCCCUAGGGUAAAACUGGUGACUG